RNAcentral lists this long non-coding RNA (1234 nucleotides) under Sorghum bicolor (sorghum). RNAcentral describes it as "long non-coding RNA (SBIC_LNC017435)". Lineage: Eukaryota; Viridiplantae; Streptophyta; Magnoliopsida; Poales; Poaceae. The record is from RNAcentral.
CUGCAUUCUAUAAACAUGAAAACAAAAUAAAAAGAUUGUGUAGAUAAGUGUGCUUUAUUUAUCUGCUAAGUCUCAAUCUCUGGAAAAAUAAAAAGACCAAAAAGAUGCAUGAUGGAAAUGAUGAAUAGCUGCUCUGUUUGCUUACUUUCAAGUACCUAGCUUUUAUACUAGAGUUCUUCCAGGAAUUAUUAAAACUGAAAUUACUAUCUUUGGGAAGCAUAAAACUAAAGUCUAGGAAGGACAAAGGCAUAAUAUAAAGUUGAGCUACUGUUUAUCUUGUUCCUACUACACUAAGUUCUGGAGAUUUAUUUUGAAAACUUGCAAAUCACAUGAUGAGUUCCUAGCAUAACAAAACUACCUACCACAGCCAUACUUGCUAUAACAUCUUUUACUAUAUUUACAUUGAGUUUGAUCGAGCUGUGUAGACGCUUAGGAGCUUUUCAUGUGGUUAAAUUAAGAUAUUCACUUGCACACAUCUACUACACCAUCCAUCACCACUCAUUAAAAUUGCUAAAAAUAUUAUCACUCACUGUCCCAAAUAUUGUUAUUCUCUCUCUCUAAAAAGAUUCAAUGCAGAAGAGGCAUGGGUUAUGCAAAAAUAUGCGAGGAAAUAAAAAGGGGAAAGUGCCCGGAACCUCGAAAAAGAAAGAAAAAGAGUGAGACGAGAGGUAAAAUGGACAAGUGUCCGGAGUAGAAUUAGGGGUACAAAGAUGCCCACUUGAGCGGAAAAAAUAGACAAGUGUCCGACAGUAGAAUUAGGGGUAUCUACUACCCAUCUAAAAAAAAGAAGAGAAAAUAAAAAGAUAGCCCAUGUUCUCCCAAAGCAAAGAUCAAAGAAGAGGAGAGAUAGCAAUAUGAGGAGCAAUGAGAACUAAGUUUUAUUAUCACUUAUACAUUUUCACUAUCACUAUCAUCUACUCCACCACACAUGCACAUCUUGAUUUAAUUAUAUGUUGAGUUCCUUUGGAGCCAUGGCUCGAUUAGACAACAUAUGUAUAAGCUGUUUCUCACGCCUAUGAGCUCCACUUAAAUAUUCCAUUAGAUAUAGGUAAGUGACAUUAUGGUAAGGAUCCACAAAUACCACAUAUAGAGAGACUUGAGAGAAUCAUUGCUGGGAACUCUGAGUUUUAUUUUGUAAACUUAUGAAAAACUCUGGAACAAAGGUGAAGUAUAAAUAGGAGGAAUAGUGCUUGGCUUAACUAUUUUGUCUUUCAAUUACUUAAGAUUUAAGUGC